CAAAACACUUAGUCAAAACACUUACCCAAAAUAUUCAUUUUCCAGCUUCACCAUUUCCAGCCACCCUUCCCCCUCUCUCUGUGGAGGUGUUGGGCGUACUGCUUAGGCCAAGAAUAGGCAUUCAAAUGGACAGGGUCGCUGGCUUGUUAAAUCUGCUAGCUUCAUUUUGGAUUUGCUCAAGAAUGCUAAAAGCAAUGCAGAGGUUUGUCUAUGUAGGUGAAAGGCUUGGAUGUGGAUUCAUUUUUCAUUUCUCACAUUCAAGUGAAUCAAGCAAAUAAACAAAGACGCCGCACAUAUCGUGCUCAUGGAAGAAUAAACCCCUACAUGUCUUCCCCCUGCCAUAUUGAGUUGAUUUUGUCCGAGAAGGAAGAGUCUAUCAAAAAGGAGAAUGCAAACCUUUGGUGAGGUGCAGAUCUAGGUGGAAGGACCCCGCGGGAAGCUUAAUCCCAACUUCAAGCAUCUCAAUCUCGACUUCCAGCUCAUCACCAAUGAGGCCACAGAAAAGAGGAAGCUCAAGGUCGACGCUUGGUUCGGCUCCCACAAGACUACCGCCGCCAUUCGCACUGCCCUCAGCCACGUUAAACUGACUCAGCUAACGGUCUUUCGUUUAUUGCCAGGGUGUUGCCAAGAACCUGCCAAGUACGUGUACUAGAUAUCGGGAUCCAACUUCAUGCUUUUUCCCUCAGAACCUGAUUGACAACGUAAAAACUCCUCUUUUUAUUCUUAAUGCUGCCUAUGAUUCAUGGCAGGUCCAGGCUAGCUUAGCUUCUCCUACAGGAGUUUGGAAGCUGCCAACUGGUGUAGUAAAUGAGGGUGAGGAUAUUUCAGCAACUGCUAUUAGAGAAGUAAAAGAUGAGACAGGAAUUGAGACAAGAUUCUUGGAAGUCCUUGCCUUCAGGUAAGUCUAAUUUGCUUGCCAAUAUUUAGGAUAGAAUAUGGUAAACCAAGCAUUCUGUUCCAAGGAGUUGCAUAAAUCAAAAAGGCCGCAAAGAGUUCGUUUCUUUUUCCUUCUUUUGUUAUUUCUUGGAGAUUCUGAAAACCACAAGGCAUUCUUUGAAAAGUCAGAUUUGUUUUUUGUUUGCAAAAUGCAACCACUCUCUUUUGAUGUGCAAAAGCAAGAUUCUGAGAUUGAGGCAGCAAAGGUAAUUCUAUAGUUGCCUAUGAAUCUCAUGUUGGUUUCUUUUUUAUAGAAUGCACCACAAAUCCCUAAACAACUGAGCGUGAAAAUCAUCUUUUAAUGAUCAUUGAUCUAUAUUAUGUCUUCACUAAGUGGAAAAGUUUGAGUCCUUCCUGUUAUAAUUCAUUUAUGGACCUGAUGCAGCACUAGUUUGCAGUCAAAGAAAGGUAUAAUAAAUGGUUAUGCUGAAAAUCCUAAGCAUUGAGCUAGAAACACUAAUUUUCUCUCUUCCCACAAAACAUUGUCAUCAUGUGUUUGGGAUGUUGAGAUACUUCACAAUACUUUUGAUCAACAAAGGGCAUUAAGACACUUCAUUGCCACUGGUAUGACUAGCUAUUCUGAAUAGAUAGCAGAAACAAACAUUCAAGAAAUUUUGCCCAAAUGGAUAGCUUGAAGCCAAAGGCUUAAUCAAGUCUGUCACUUGUUUUUGUGAAUUACUGAAAAAGCUAAAUGAGGCGAUCUCUUGAAGGGAAGUACUAGAUCUUAGGCCAUCAGAAUAAAGCUUGAAAAAAUGUAGAAUCAUAGCAGGCAUCAGGAUUCAUAAAAUAAAAAGCUUGCAUUGCUUGGAAUAGCUGUUGUUGAUAGAAUCUCAGAACUUUAUCUAAGCUCUGAAGCGAAAAAAGAAAAGUUAGUCUUAGCUCAGAAUUUCCUAUCUUAGAACCAAGUGUUACAUGUUAUAAUUCAUAUCUAGAUCCCAAAAUUACCAAUUACUAAUUACUACCCCAUUAAUCUGAAACUUAUUAGUGAAAAGACGUUUUAGGUUUGAUGUGGAACUAAGGGUGAUAUUAUUUUUUUCUUUCUUUUUUGUAAAAUGAUCAACCUGAACAUUACCUCCAUGUAUUAGGUUUGAUAAAUUUUAUAGCCAUGCUGACGGGACUCCAUCGAGUAGUGUGGUGGUUGAGAAUUUGAUAAGUGAACUAAGAGUGUUUUUAUGUUACUUAAGUCAUGCUGAAACUGAUAAUAACUAUAUUUGCUUUUCUUUUAGAGUAAAAUGAAAAAAAAAAAAAAGCAAGCUAAACUUCCACCAGAAACUGAGGACUCAAUUGGCCGAAAUGACAUAUUUGCUCAAGUCAUUGGACAAGACAAACCUGGCCACAUCCGGCUGUUUAGUGAAGGUGUCAAUCCAACUGACUUGUAGAGAGAUAUCCCAAGUCGUAGCAUGUGCCAUCAUAUAAAUAUUGAGCAGCAGACAGUAUUUUCAAUAAUGGAAGAUAAAGUGAAGCAACAAGAAGUAGACAUUGUUGAUCUGAAGAAAUUAGCGCAAUAAUUGAGUCAAAGUUCAGCAGACAGCCUAAGGUAUCCAUCAUCAUCAUCUGCCAGUGUUUUAGGCCGGAAUCCAUCUGAUGAUAUUGGCGGACAAGUGUUAGGAUCAAAUUGGUAUGAGAUAAAUGUACUAGUAACGGUGGAACCUAAUGAGCAGCUGAUUAGACCGUAUGAUUUGUAGCAAACAAUCCAAGAUGCAUUUGGAGCACCAAUCGCUUGGCUUUCUCUUUAUUCACUGCAAUUUCUUUUAGACUUAGUGCUGAUUCUCUUUUGUUUAUUAGAUAGCAAUGCUGUUUUCAUGUUAGCUUGCAGUUCUUUUGAACCCUUUCACUUGAUUACUUUUGUUGUUGAAGGAUAUUUGAGCAUUGGUUUGCUUUUAAA
Coffea arabica (coffee) is the source of this 2821-nucleotide non-coding RNA. The record is from RefSeq and is a predicted model, not a curated record. Lineage: Eukaryota; Viridiplantae; Streptophyta; Magnoliopsida; Gentianales; Rubiaceae.